RNAcentral lists this long non-coding RNA (391 nucleotides) under Elaeis guineensis (African oil palm). RNAcentral's name for it is "long non-coding RNA (EGUI_LNC061742)". The record is from RNAcentral. Lineage: Eukaryota; Viridiplantae; Streptophyta; Magnoliopsida; Arecales; Arecaceae.
GAUUUCCCCCGAAGACACCUUCGAUGGAGACUUUUUUUACAGGUCCGGUCUCUAUCGACUCAUUGGACUUCAUUAUGCUCCAGCACCUCCGACAUUGGACAAAUUUCAUCCGUAACAUCAUCUUAAGAAAGGGGAGUCACUUAAUGGGUUUUAGUUUAGCUUAGGAGGUUUUGGAAAUAGUCGUCCUACUCAUGCGAAGAGCGGAUCUGCAGCUUUGAGAGGCAAACCCAAUGCCAUGUCUAGAUCGGAUAUGGCUUCGAUGAUAGUCUCUUAUGACAUUUAUGCGGAGCAUGUGCUUCAAAGAAGGAUGGCCAGCGGGCUGCAUGAUGGCUUUUCAGUGUGGACCAUGAUCUCCACCGCUUGGAGACGACAUCCCUGAGGCCCUCAAUGG